This 244-nucleotide ribosomal RNA is filed under the name uncultured bacterium. RNAcentral's name for it is "partial 16S ribosomal RNA". It matches the Rfam family "Bacterial small subunit ribosomal RNA", at positions 529 to 772 of the family's 1533-position model. The record is from RNAcentral.
AGGAUGCAAGCGUUCUCCGGAUUUACUGGGUUUAAAGGGAGCGCAGACGGGUUUUUAAGUCUGCGGUGAAAGUUCGGGGCUCAACCCCGACACUGCAGUUGAUACUGGAGAUCUUGAGUGCAGGUGAGGCAGGCGGAAUUCGUGGUGUAGCGGUGAAAUGCUUAGAUAUCACGAAGAACUCCGAUUGCGAAGGCAGCUUGCUAAAGUGUAACUGACGUUCAUGCUCGAAAGUGUGGGUAUCAAA